RNAcentral lists this ribosomal RNA (253 nucleotides) under uncultured bacterium. RNAcentral's name for it is "partial 16S ribosomal RNA". It matches the Rfam family "Bacterial small subunit ribosomal RNA", at positions 524 to 776 of the family's 1533-position model. The record is from RNAcentral.
UACGAAGGGGGCUAGCGUUGUUCGGAUUUACUGGGCGUAAAGCGCGCGUAGGCGGGUCACUAAGUCAGGGGUGAAAUCCCGAGGCUUAACCUCGGAACUGCCUUUGAUACUGGUGAUCUGGAGAUCGGGAGAGGUUGGUGGAAUUCCGAGUGUAGAGGUGAAAUUCGUAGAUAUUCGGAGGAACACCAGAAGCGAAGGCGGCCAACUGGCCCGAUACUGACGCUGAGGCGCGAAAGCGUGGGGAGCAAACAGG